Molecule: long non-coding RNA, 203 nt
Filed under: Lupinus angustifolius (narrow-leaved blue lupine)
Lineage: Eukaryota; Viridiplantae; Streptophyta; Magnoliopsida; Fabales; Fabaceae
Description: long non-coding RNA (LANG_LNC000613)
Source: RNAcentral
UCUAUUCUUAUGGUUUGUAUACUUUUAAACCAUCAAAUGGCGCUGAUUGAGCUUCAGGGUUCUAAAUCCUAACUUCAUGUUGUGGACACUUCCUUGGGUGCACAAGUUUUGGUCUUGUUCUUUCAAGAAGUAUUUGUGGCAUCGUUUGGUCUUGGAGCCUCUAUUUGAUGUUCUAUUUGUUUGUUCAAUUCAUAUAGGCAGAC